GGCAAUACAUGCAAGUCGAACGCUUCUUUCCUCCCGAGUGCUUGCACUCAUUUGGAAAGAGGAGUGGCGGACGGGUGAGUAACACGUGGGUAACCUACCCAUCAGAGGGGGAUAACACUUGGAAACAGGUGCUAAUACCGCAUAACAGUUUAUGCCGCAUGGCAUAAGAGUGAAAGGCGCUUUCGGGUGUCGCUGAUGGAUGGACCCGCGGUGCAUUAGCUAGUUGGUGAGGUAACGGCUCACCAAGGCCACGAUGCAUAGCCGACCUGAGAGGGUGAUCGGCCACACUGGGACUGAGACACGGCCCAGACUCCUACGGGAGGCAGCAGUAGGGAAUCUUCGGCAAUGGACGAAAGUCUGACCGAGCAACGCCGCGUGAGUGAAGAAGGUUUUCGGAUCGUAAAACUCUGUUGUUAGAGAAGAACAAGGACGUUAGUAACUGAACGUCCCCUGACGGUAUCUAACCAGAAAGCCACGGCUAACUACGUGCCAGCAGCCGCGGUAAUACGUAGGUGGCAAGCGUUGUCCGGAUUUAUUGGGCGUAAAGCGAGCGCAGGCGGUUUCUUAAGUCUGAUGUGAAAGCCCCCGGCUCAACCGGGGAGGGUCAUUGGAAACUGGGAGACUUGAGUGCAGAAGAGGAGAGUGGAAUUCCAUGUGUAGCGGUGAAAUGCGUAGAUAUAUGGAGGAACACCAGUGGCGAAGGCGGCUCUCUGGUCUGUAACUGACGCUGAGGCUCGAAAGCGUGGGGAGCAAACAGGAUUAGAUACCCUGGUAGUCCACGCCGUAAACGAUGAGUGCUAAGUGUUGGAGGGUUUCCGCCCUUCAGUGCUGCAGCAAACGCAUUAAGCACUCCGCCUGGGGAGUACGACCGCAAGGUUGAAACUCAAAGGAAUUGACGGGGGCCCGCACAAGCGGUGGAGCAUGUGGUUUAAUUCGAAGCAACGCGAAGAACCUUACCAGGUCUUGACAUCCUUUGACCACUCUAGAGAUAGAGCUUUCCCUUCGGGGACAAGUGACAGUGGUGCAUGGUUGUCCUCACCCCCUGUCCUGAAAUGUUGGGUUAAGUCCCGCAACAACGCAACCCUUAUUGUUAUUUCCAUCAUUUAUUUGGGCAUCUACCGAAACUGCCGGUAAAAACCCGAAGAAAGUGGGGAUGAGUCAAACCACAGGCCCUUAAACCUGG
This 1183-nucleotide ribosomal RNA is filed under the name Enterococcus faecalis. Its description in RNAcentral is "bacterial SSU rRNA". It matches the Rfam family "Bacterial small subunit ribosomal RNA", at positions 46 to 1212 of the family's 1533-position model. Lineage: Bacteria; Bacillati; Bacillota; Bacilli; Lactobacillales; Enterococcaceae. The record is from RNAcentral.